RNAcentral lists this ribosomal RNA (773 nucleotides) under uncultured Neocallimastigales. RNAcentral's name for it is "partial large subunit ribosomal RNA". It matches the Rfam family "Eukaryotic large subunit ribosomal RNA", at positions 22 to 621 of the family's 3401-position model. The record is from RNAcentral. Lineage: Eukaryota; Fungi; Neocallimastigomycota; Neocallimastigomycetes; Neocallimastigales.
AUAUCAGUCAUGCAUAGCAUAUCAAUAAGCGGAGGAAAAGAAACUAACAAGGAUUCCCUUAGUAACGGCGAGUGAAGCGGGAAGAGCUCAAAUUUGAAAUCUUCAAGGUUUUACCUUGACGAAUUGUAGUUUAAAGAAGUGUUUUCUGUUGAAGUUUUGGUAAAAGUUCUUUGGAAUAGGACAUCAUAGAGGGUGAGAAUCCCGUAUUUGACCAUUACUUUCAGCUUUGUGAUACACUUUCAAAGAGUCGGAUUGUUUGGGAAUGCAGUCCAAAAUGGGUGGUAAUUUCAUCUAAAGCUAAAUAUUGGCGAGAGACCGAUAGCGAACAAGUACCGUGAGGGAAAGAUGAAAAGAACUUUGAAAAGAGAGUUAAACAGUACGUGAAAUUGUCAAAAGGGAAGCGUUUGACACCAGUGUUGUUUUCUCGAAAAUCAAUUAAAAAGAGUUGGAUUUUGUGUUGUAUUGACUUUAUCAGCUUUCUUCACUCUUUUCCAGCUUUUUUUAAUGCACUUUUCGUUUAACAAGUCAACAUCAGUUUCUUUUGUUGUAAAAAGGUCAUUGGAAGGUGGCUUUCUCUUCGGAGAAAGUGUUUAUAGCCUUUGACUCAUGCAAUCGGAGAGACUGAGGUCUGCAGCGUAGAUCCUUCGGGGUUAGAUACAUUUGUGCUAAGUUAUAGCUUUUCAUAGACAACUUGUUGACUAUGUUUAGUCUUGUAGCUUACUCGCUUAUGCUAUUUUACCUACGCUUAGGAUGUUGAACUCUAUCACACACAG